Molecule: ribosomal RNA, 444 nt
Filed under: uncultured bacterium
Lineage: Bacteria
Description: partial 16S ribosomal RNA
Rfam family: Bacterial small subunit ribosomal RNA
Source: RNAcentral
GUAAGGAAUAUUGGUCAAUGGGCGGAAGCCUGAACCAGCCAUGCCGCGUGCAGGACGACGGCCCUACGGGUUGUAAACUGCUUUUGCCCGGGAAUAACCCCCCGCUCUUGAGCGGGGCUGAACGUACCGGGAGAAUAAGGAUCGGCUAACUCCGUGCCAGCAGCCGCGGUAAUACGGAGGAUCCGAGCGUUAUCCGGAUUUAUUGGGUUUAAAGGGUGCGUAGGCGGCCUGUUAAGUCAGGGGUGAAAUACGGCAGCUCAACUGUCGCAGUGCCCUUGAUACUGACGGGCUUGAAUACCGGUGAAGGCGGCGGAAUGAGACAAGUAGCGGUGAAAUGCAUAGAUAUGUCUCAGAACCCCGAUUGCGAAGGCAGCUGCCUAACCGGCGAUUGACGCUGAUGCACGAAAGCGUGGGGAUCGAACAGGAUUAGAAACCCGGGUAGUC